Molecule: long non-coding RNA, 575 nt
Organism: Oncorhynchus keta (chum salmon)
Lineage: Eukaryota; Metazoa; Chordata; Actinopteri; Salmoniformes; Salmonidae
Exons: 3
Source: RefSeq, a predicted model, not a curated record
AAGACAGGUGUGCUCUGGGUACAGGUGUCAUAUGAAGACAGGUGUGCUCUGGGUACAGGUGUCAUAUGAAGACAGGUGUCAUAUGAAGACAGGUGUCAUAUGAAGACAGGUGUCAUAUGAAGACAGGUGUCAUAUGAAGACAGGUGUCAUAUGAAGACAGGUGUCAUAUGAAGACAGGUGUGCUCUGGGUACAGGUGUCAUAUGAAGACAGGUGUCAUAUGAAGACAGGUGUCAUAUGAAGACAGGUGUCAUAUGAAGACAGGUGUCAUAUGAAGACAGGUGUCAUAUGAAGACAGGUGUCAUAGGAAGACAGGUGUCAUAUGAAGACAGGUGUCAUAGGAAGACAGGUGUCAUAUGAAGACAGGUGUCAUAUGAAGACAGGUGUCAUAUGAAGACAGGUGUCAUAUGAAGACAGGUGUCAUAUGAAGACAGGUGUCAUAUGAAGACAGGUGUCAUAUGAAGACAGGUGUGCUCUGGGUACAGGUGUCAUAUGAAGACAGGUGUCAUAUGAAGACAGGUGUCAUAUGAAGACAGGUGUCAUAUGAAGACAGGUGUCAUAUGAAGACAGGUGUCAU